This 607-nucleotide ribosomal RNA is filed under the name Bacillus pumilus. RNAcentral describes it as "bacterial SSU rRNA". It matches the Rfam family "Bacterial small subunit ribosomal RNA", at positions 1 to 594 of the family's 1533-position model. The record is from RNAcentral. Lineage: Bacteria; Bacillati; Bacillota; Bacilli; Caryophanales; Bacillaceae.
UCGGAGAGUUUGAUCCUGGCUCAGGACGAACGCUGGCGGCGUGCCUAAUACAUGCAAGUCGAGCGAACAGAAGGGAGCUUGCUCCCGGAUGUUAGCGGCGGACGGGUGAGUAACACGUGGGUAACCUGCCUGUAAGACUGGGAUAACUCCGGGAAACCGGAGCUAAUACCGGAUAGUUCCUUGAACCGCAUGGUUCAAGGAUGAAAGACGGUUUCGGCUGUCACUUACAGAUGGACCCGCGGCGCAUUAGCUAGUUGGUGGGGUAAUGGCUCACCAAGGCGACGAUGCGUAGCCGACCUGAGAGGGUGAUCGGCCACACUGGGACUGAGACACGGCCCAGACUCCUACGGGAGGCAGCAGUAGGGAAUCUUCCGCAAUGGACGAAAGUCUGACGGAGCAACGCCGCGUGAGUGAUGAAGGUUUUCGGAUCGUAAAGCUCUGUUGUUAGGGAAGAACAAGUGCGAGAGUAACUGCUCGCACCUUGACGGUACCUAACCAGAAAGCCACGGCUAACUACGUGCCAGCAGCCGCGGUAAUACGUAGGUGGCAAGCGUUGUCCGGAAUUAUUGGGCGUAAAGGGCUCGCAGGCGGUUUCUUAAGUCUGAUG